Molecule: non-coding RNA, 31 nt
Filed under: Rattus norvegicus (Norway rat)
Lineage: Eukaryota; Metazoa; Chordata; Mammalia; Rodentia; Muridae
Source: RNAcentral
UACAUGUAAAAUAAUAAAAGAUACCUUGGGA